AACCGGAUUAGAUACCCGGGUAGUCCUACCCGUAAACGAUUACUCGCUAGGGUUCGGCCACGGUGCGACCGUGGUCGGUGCCGUAGGGAAGCCGUGAAGCGAGCCACCUGGGAAGUACGGCCGCAAGGCUGAAACUUAAAGGAAUUGGCGGGGGAGCACUACAACGGGUGGAGCCUGCGGUUUAAUUGGAUUCAACGCCGGAAAUCUCACCGGGGGCGACAGCAUGAUGAAGGCCAGGCUGAAGACCUUGCCUGAUCCGCUGAGAGGUGGUGCAUGGCCGUCGUCAGUUCGUACUGUGAAGCAUCCUGUUAAGUCAGGCAACGAGCGAGACCCACGCCCACAGUUGCCAGCGAGCCCUUCGGGGUGGCGGGUACUCUGUGGGGACCGCCGCUGCUAAAGCGGAGGAAGGAAUGGGCAACGGUAGGUCAGUAUGCCCCGAAUCUCCCGGGCUACACGCGGGCUACAAUGGUCGGUACAAUGGGUAUCUACCCCGAGAGGGGAUGGAAAUCUCCUAAAACCGGUCGUAGUUCGGAUUGAGGGCUGCAACUCGCCCUCAUGAAGCUGGAAUCCGUAGUAAUCGCGUUUCAACAGAACGCGGUGAAUACAUCCCUGCUCCUUGCACACACCGCCCGUCAAACCACCCGAGUAGGGUCUGGAUAAGGGUGCGCCAUGUUGACGCAUUCGAAUCUGGGCUUUGCAAGGGGGGUUAAGUCGUAACAAGGUAACCAAGGGCGAAU
Molecule: ribosomal RNA, 737 nt
Filed under: uncultured archaeon
Lineage: Archaea
Description: bacterial SSU rRNA
Rfam family: Archaeal small subunit ribosomal RNA
Source: RNAcentral